Molecule: ribosomal RNA, 440 nt
Filed under: uncultured bacterium
Lineage: Bacteria
Description: partial 16S ribosomal RNA
Rfam family: Bacterial small subunit ribosomal RNA
Source: RNAcentral
CCUACGGGUGGCAGCAGUGGGGAAUAUUGCUCAAUGGGGGCAACCCUGAAGCAGCAACGCCGCGUGGAGGAUGAAGGUUUUCGGAUUGUAAACCCCUUUUGUUAAAGAAGAUAAUGACGGUACCUAACGAAUAAGCACCGGCUAACUCCGUGCCAGCAGCCGCGGUAAUACGGAGGGUGCCAGCGUUACUCGGAAUCACUGGGCGUAAAGAGCGCGUAGGCGGGAUAGCAAGUCAGAUGUGAAAUCCUAUGGCUUAACCAUAGAACUGCAUUUGAAACUGUGAUUCUAGAGUAUGGGAGAGGUAGGUGGAAUUCGUGGUGUAGGGGUGAAAUGCGUAGAGAUCAAGAGGAAUACUCAUGGCGAAGGCGACCUGCUAGAACAUAACUGACGCUGAUGCGCGAAAGCGUGGGGAGCAAACAGGAUUAGAUACCCGGGUAGUC